UAUUAUGAGUAUGUUCUGGAUACUUGACAUUGCUUCGAUGCAAUUGCAUCCGAAUAGGUGGGCGGCUAUACAGGUGUUUCGAGCACUUUGCUUCAAUAGCUAUGUGUUGGCAACACCUAGACUCUUCUUGCAUUACUUUUACAGUCGUCCACAGGACAAGGCUCAAUGGAUAUCAUUGAUUUGAAUACCGAAGCACCCUCUUUUUCACCCUUUUACUUCUUAUAAAAAUUUUAAAACCGGCUACUUCAAAGUAACUAUAAGACCAGUCGUUGGGAAAAACCACUUCUACGACUCAGUGGGGAACCCAUUGUUCCCCUUCUACUGGCAACAGUGUCCUCGAUGGUAUGAAAAGUACCCAAAGGAGCUACUGAGUCCCAACAAUUGUCGAGACCUCAAAUUCCUCAAAAUGCUCCCUCGUUAGCUACCUGCUUGGCCUUUUGUGCCACUUUUGUAGUCUUUGAAUCCUAUCUAGGACCUUGAGGGAAUCAUGACUCAGGCCGAUGACAACAUGAAUGUUUUUCGCCAGGCUUGGCUAAAUCAAAUCGUUGCUGCUGGUGAACCUUCGUUGAAUCCUGCUACUAAUCAGACAUCGGGGCCUUGUGAUGUUUUCGACUGAUGUGGUGGCCCCUGCUAGCAAAGACCUUAGGGGGAAACAAAAGCAUAAGAAGUGGAGCCACCAGGAGCACUGGAGCGGCUCGGGGGAACACUCCGGGCACCAGGAAGACACCUCUUGGGAGAAGAGGCUUAAGCAGCCAAUAAUUGGAUUUCAACCUGAUGUUGCCACCUCUUUGGGCAACAUCUCGGCCCCUAACGAAUCAAGGCUUCUUCAACCAUUCCUUCUGGCUGGACCGCCUUAUCCUGACGGAAAUUGUUUCGAAGCAAGGGUGUCAAGUGCUGAGUAGAAGCGACACCGUUGCCAAUUGGGCCAACUUUUGGGACUUCCUCUCUAGGGUGUCAGCGAUUGCCCAACAUCUUCAGGGGUCGUCCAAAGCCGAUGCUUUGAAGGACCAGUUCCUAAAGGUCGAGGAUUCCUUGAACUCAGCGCUUCAGGCCAACAUGAAGCUGGUCGAAGACAACAAAAAUCUUAAGGACCAGGUUCUUCGACUAACAAAUGAUGCCAAGGGAUUGGAGACGUGCACCCUAAAUGUCGAGGCCUUGAUUAGAUCUCAAGAUACUGAAAUAUCUAGGCUUUGAUUAGCCAUGGUUGAUGCCAACAAGGAAACAAAAGAGGUUAAUGCUGAGAAGGAACAAAUUCAACAGAAGGCAUUCGAUAAUGUGUACAAUACACAUAAGGCCGACUUCGACCACUGCCAUCGACAGAUGUUGCACAUGUGCGAUGUUUCUGAACCCGGGGUCUUUGACAUUAAAAAGGAUGCCUAUGAAGGGGGGCUGGUUUUAAUUGAUGAAAUCAUGAAAGAGGAUGUUGCUCCUUCACACCCAAGGAUUAUGACCCUAGCAAAGGAGCCACAGGUCAAGGGAGCCGAGGACAGAGCAGACAAGGCCUAGGGAUUGAGUCUCUUAGGCUUUUAUUUAUGAUUUUUGUGCAGCUCUUCUUUCUUUUUACUAUUUGUCGGUCCCUAGCUCUUUUUGUAUAUCCCGGUCUCCAACUGCCUUUUGUAUUCACCGGUUCUCGGCUUACCAUUAAUGAAAUUUCUUUUCCAAUUGUUGGUUUA
Glycine soja is the source of this 1673-nucleotide long non-coding RNA. RefSeq lists it as uncharacterized. The record is from RefSeq and is a predicted model, not a curated record. The transcript is spliced from 2 exons. NCBI's taxonomy places the organism in Eukaryota, Viridiplantae, Streptophyta, Magnoliopsida, Fabales, Fabaceae.